CUCUCUUUGAUGUAGAGGUUAGGCUCUGUGUUUGCAGUCAAAAUGUAAUCUCCAACGUGGGUUGUUUUCAUUGUGUUAUUUAAAUAUAUGUAUUGUAACAGCUCAAAAUGUGUCUUUGAAUUUCUCGUCUCAUGAAAAGUAAACUCAUUACCAGAAGACAUGUUAAAAUGCAGACUUCUUAGAUAUUUUCUCAGCUGAAAUAGUUUACAAAGAAUACAACUUUAGUUUUGCAAACAACUACAAAGACAAAACACAAUAAGUCUGGCUUGACAAAC
This is a non-coding RNA of Pelobates cultripes (western spadefoot toad), 275 nucleotides long. NCBI's taxonomy places the organism in Eukaryota, Metazoa, Chordata, Amphibia, Anura, Pelobatidae. The record is from the annotation of a GenBank genome assembly.